This is a long non-coding RNA of Alligator mississippiensis (American alligator), 929 nucleotides long. RefSeq lists it as uncharacterized. The record is from RefSeq and is a predicted model, not a curated record. The transcript has 4 exons. NCBI's taxonomy places the organism in Eukaryota, Metazoa, Chordata, Crocodylia, Alligatoridae.
UGUUUUCCUGCACAGCUUACCACUACCCUCCUUGGGGACAGAUGCUCCUCAGGCUGCAAGUCUCCUAUGCCACGAGGGAGCUGAGUGUUCUGAUGGGGUGAGCAUUAAUAAGCUAAGCUUCCCAUUAACACAGUCGUAUCCUCAGUGAAGUCACCAACACCCCUCAAGCCCACCACAGUUUAUCCAAAGCAAUGGAAAAAUGCUUUUAACUGCCAAGGAUGCUGUUAAUAGACCUGUGACAAACCCCUGCAACUCCACUGGACUUCUGGAAAGUGCUACAAAUAAAAAAUCUAUGGACUGGAAGGUCUGAAGAGGCCAUUGCAAUCAUCUGGUCUGAUCUCCUACAGAAACCAGGCUGAAGAAUUUCACCCAGCAAUUCCUGCAGUGGUCAAACUAGAAUGCAUCUUUGAGAGAGGCAUUUCAACUCAAUUUAAUACUUCCAGACACUGAAGUAUCCAUCACAUCCCCAGUUUUCAGCCCCACAGAGGACAAUUCCAAACUUAAGGUCACUACACAGACAAAUAUUAAAAACACAUGGACAUAGAACCAAAGGAUUUCAGUGAAUUUUAACUCAGAGCUGAAGCAUCUGUCAAUCUAUUCAAAAUGAUCAUAAUAACAGCAGGAAGCAACUGUGACCACCUGAAACCUGAGAUCCUGCUCCUGCCUUUGUUUCAAGAUAAUUUGCAUCAUCACUGAUCCUCACAGGAGGUGAGAGGCUUCAUACCAGCUAUGAACUGACAGCCCAGAGGAGUUUUCCAUCUAUUGACUCCUCUGUGAAAUCCUUUGAAAUAUGAACCUUCAUUCUACCCAGGAGAAAUUUUACAAUCUUUUCUCCAAUGCCUGAUGAAGGGUGUUUGUGCCUGAAAGCUUGCAAUUAAAGAUUUUUUUUUGCAGAAAUCUUGUUGGUCUAAUAAAAGAUAUCAUCUCUA